This 253-nucleotide ribosomal RNA is filed under the name uncultured bacterium. RNAcentral describes it as "partial 16S ribosomal RNA". It matches the Rfam family "Bacterial small subunit ribosomal RNA", at positions 524 to 776 of the family's 1533-position model. The record is from RNAcentral.
GACGUAGGGGGCAAGCGUUGUCCGGAAUUACUGGGCGUAAAGCGCACGCAGGCGGUUUGUUAAGUUAGAUGUGAAAUCCCCGGGCUUAACCUGGGAACUGCAUUUAAGACUGGCAGGCUAGAGUCUUGUAGAGGGGGGUAGAAUUCCAUGUGUAGCGGUGAAGUGCGUAGAGAUGUGGAGGAAUACCGGUGGCGAAGGCGGCCCCCUGGACAAAGACUGACGCUCAGGUGCGAAAGCGUGGGGAGCAAACAGG